RNAcentral lists this ribosomal RNA (274 nucleotides) under uncultured bacterium. Its description in RNAcentral is "partial 16S ribosomal RNA". It matches the Rfam family "Bacterial small subunit ribosomal RNA", at positions 523 to 796 of the family's 1533-position model. The record is from RNAcentral.
AUACGGAGGGUGCAAGCGUUACUCGGAAUCACUGGGCGUAAAGCGCGCGCAGGCGGCUAUUUAAGUUGGAUGUGAAAGCCUACGGCUCAACCGUAGAACUGCAUCCAAAACUAUUUAGCUAGAGUGUGGGAGAGGAAGAUGGAAUUAGUUGUGUAGGGGUAAAAUCCGUAGAGAUAACUAGGAAUACCAAAAGCGAAGGCAAUCUUCUGGAACACUACUGACGCUGAGGCGCGAAAGCGUGGGGAGCAAACAGGAGUAGAAACCCCAGUAGUCC